Long non-coding RNA from Phyllostomus discolor (pale spear-nosed bat), 1158 nucleotides. RefSeq lists it as uncharacterized. Lineage: Eukaryota; Metazoa; Chordata; Mammalia; Chiroptera; Phyllostomidae. The transcript has 2 exons. The record is from RefSeq and is a predicted model, not a curated record.
AAAAAAUAUUAAUUAAAAUCUCUCUAGAGUAUCAGUGCACAGAUCCAAAUUCUUUUUUUCUGAUUCUCAUUUAAGGCUUCAGUGUCUAACUUCAGCAUAGUAUACAUCAUAGUGUCCACAAGAUAUCUUUAUGACAGAAUAACAAUAUUCAAAAUAAUAAUAAUAAAAAGAAAAAUUGUAAACACAUUUGAUCAGUUCAGUGUGGCUACCUUUGGGAUAAUGUGAUAUGACAUCAAAUUAGUUACAUUAUAACUCCCCUGAUUGAUAAGACAGAAUGAUAAACAUAUCAGACUUGAUUUAAAGUGCCUACUAAGUUGCUUCUUUGAAUGUAAUUCUGAGAUUUGGGUGACUGCUAGUAAUUUGGAUUUUUUAGCCUUAGUGUCUUAUUUUUAUGUUUAAUUGUAUGUGAUACUGUGAUAUAGUUAGAAAUUCAUAUUUCAUUUUAUUUCCUCCUUCUUGGCACAGAGCUCCUAAAAUCUUUGGGAUUUCAUUAGUGAUGAAGUGAGAAGAGCAUCUUUUCUGUUCCUGGAACAUACUGAUGAUAAAAUAAAACCACUUCCCUUGUUAAAAAGAACAGAAUUACAGAUGGGCUUUACUAAUGACAAGUAGAGGGGACAAUAACCACAAAAACUCUAAAGCUUCAAAAUGAGUGAUAAAUGGCUGUGCUAUUAGCCAUACCCUAUGCCAACCAAACUGCAAGUAAAGAAUGGGAACACAAUAACAUCCACUAUCAGCAUGCUGUUUUGACUGGAUUGGACCAUCUGAAUAACUGACCAACUUGGUAAUUUUCCUGAAAAUUCAAAAUCAGUGAGUUUGACUGAAGAACACCUACCAUCACUUUUUAACGUACCUGUAAUAAACAAGUAAAUAUCUACUGUUUCCAUUACUUUACAAAGAGUCUUGAUUGGAAUCUUUAAAAGAAAAUUAACAAAAAUACAAAGCAUUUUAAUAGGUAAUUUGAUAUUGAAGUUUUUUCAAGAAAGCAGCUAAAGCAGAGGACCCAUGUUUUCUUGGCCACAACACUUUUACUAAUCUCUAUGUGAACUUAUUAAAACAAUGUGGAAAAGGGCUUCUGGGCAAGACGGAGGCAUAAGUAGAUACACUUUACUUUCUUGCAUAACCAAAAGAAGGAUAACAACAAAUUUAAAAACAAAAAAA